RNAcentral lists this transfer RNA (71 nucleotides) under Cyrtodactylus thirakhupti (Thirakhupts bent toed gecko). RNAcentral describes it as "tRNA Thr". It matches the Rfam family "tRNA". Rfam says of the family: Transfer RNA (tRNA) molecules are approximately 80 nucleotides in length. Their secondary structure includes four short double-helical elements and three loops (D, anti-codon, and T loops). The record is from RNAcentral. Lineage: Eukaryota; Metazoa; Chordata; Lepidosauria; Squamata; Gekkonidae.
GCCCCAGUAGCUUAACUCGCCCAAAGCCCUGGUCUUGUAAACCAAAGCCGGAUACCACUGUCCCUGGGACA